Siniperca chuatsi (mandarin fish) is the source of this 1201-nucleotide long non-coding RNA. RefSeq lists it as uncharacterized. NCBI's taxonomy places the organism in Eukaryota, Metazoa, Chordata, Actinopteri, Centrarchiformes, Sinipercidae. The transcript is spliced from 3 exons. The record is from RefSeq and is a predicted model, not a curated record.
AAACGCAUCAUCUCCUCCCUUGAUGGGUAUCAAAUAUAGCCUAUAUAGCCUCCGGCCAGGAGGAGUCCAUGUUUUCGCCAGCCUUUCUUGCCGUGAGCUUUCUUUACCCUUCAGGGCGACAGUAUUACCCUGCAGACCGAGCUCAUUUACAUGUCAUGCAUGUCUGGGAGCUGUCAAAUGGGAUUUAAGGGACACACGAGCAGCAAGUUUUGAUGGUGGAGAAAGUGAGCUUGCGACGAAAAGCAGCUGUGGCAAGUGCCUGAACCACUCCAGCUCAGCUUCCCCCGCGCCCACAAAUGAGAAGAGAGGAAUUUGUUAGUGCCUGAUUCAACGACCACAUCUGCCAAGAGAGACACGGUGCAAUGCAAGACACACAGGGGGAGGAGAUGUGUGUGCAUCUGUGUAGGGAAAAUGCGUCUGAGUGUGUGACUGGAGCCCCCCCUCCCAAGCCUCUGGCCAUUGAGGUGCCUGCUGUUAACAGAUUGGGUGGCUAGCGAGACGGUUGCAGCAUGUGUGUGUGUUUCUAUAUGCAUCUGUGUGUGUAGUCUAUAUAUCCUCACCCACAACAUCCAUGUGUGUGUGUCAUGACUGUGCAUGUGUCUCAUUAUGCAUCUGCAAACAAAACAAAAAAGAGGGUGAAACUAGCCAGGGCUCUCUCAUAUGCCACAGGCCCUGACACACUGCACUACUGUGCUGUGACUAUCCCCCGUGUCCGUUUGGCAGGGAGACAUGAUGAGGAUGAGAGGGAAACGCGCCUCCCCUGGGUGCUGCGCUUUAGCUAACCCAGAUUUUAUGCAGUGUGACACCGGCUCCUGUGCUCCAUUCAAAGCAGAGCUGUCUGAACCGAGGCAACCCGAACAGAAGAUAAUGCCUAAAUAACAUUCAUGCAGCGGAGAAAAAGUCCGACUUGUAGAAGAGGGCGAGGUAUGAAGAUUGGGAGCACGCCCACUCGAGGCCAAGACCUACGCCUUUGAGUGGUUGGAUGACUAGAAAGGCGCUAUGUAAGUACAUUCCACCAAUUUACCAUUUAAGCCCCACCCACCUGUAUUUGCUAUUUCUGCGGUUUCACCCAUUCCUCUAAUUGUAUUUUUAAACCAAAACUGGCUUAUUCUUAAUGUAUUGGCGCUAUAAUGCUGCUAACAUGGCUUCCUGAACCUUUUACACAUGAAAAAAAAAAAACACGUCCCUGGGUGGGCUCGAA